Molecule: long non-coding RNA, 367 nt
Filed under: Carica papaya (papaya)
Lineage: Eukaryota; Viridiplantae; Streptophyta; Magnoliopsida; Brassicales; Caricaceae
Description: long non-coding RNA (CPAP_LNC004092)
Source: RNAcentral
AUACAAAACAAAACAUGAGGGCCACUUCUUUCACUAUGCUAUUGGACUUAUCAGAAUGCGGGACAAUCAUGCACUCAGACUUGUGGAUCCACGGGAUCCUUAUAGACUUCCAAGGGUAGGUCAACCUGCGGUUCCUCACUUUCUUCCUCAUUUGGGAGGGGGCAUGGAAAGAGUGAGUUCCAUAUGCUCAGUAAGGAAAACAGUAUUAAAUUAACAUCGUAAGAUUUCAAAAGUUAAUUAUUCUAUCUUACUAUUUAACUUCCUCGUUUACCUAUCUCAUAUAAUGGAAAACCAUUUAUUUGUUAAGAAAACGAUAUGUUAAUAUAGAAAAUCAAACAUACAUCAUGCCAGAUAGUAGAGAAAAUCA